UGCAGUCGAACGGCAGCACGGGGGCAACCCUGGUGGCGAGUGGCGAACGGGUGAGUAAUACAUCGGAACGUGUCCUGUAGUGGGGGAUAGCCCGGCGAAAGCCGGAUUAAUACCGCAUACGCUCUACGGAGGAAAGGGGGGGAUCUUAGGACCUCCCGCUACAGGGGCGGCCGAUGGCAGAUUAGCUAGUUGGUGGGGUAAAGGCCUACCAAGGCGACGAUCUGUAGCUGGUCUGAGAGGACGACCAGCCACACUGGGACUGAGACACGGCCCAGACUCCUACGGGAGGCAGCAGUGGGGAAUUUUGGACAAUGGGCGAAAGCCUGAUCCAGCAAUGCCGCGUGUGUGAAGAAGGCCUUCGGGUUGUAAAGCACUUUUGUCCGGAAAGAAAACGUCGUGGUUAAUACCCGUGGCGGAUGACGGUACCGGAAGAAUAAGCACCGGCUAACUACGUGCCAGCAGCCGCGGUAAUACGUAGGGUGCAAGCGUUAAUCGGAAUUACUGCGCGUAAAGCGUGCGCAGGCGGUUCGCUAAGACAGAUGUGAAAUCCCCGCGCUUAACCUGAGAACUGCAUUUGUGACUGGCGCGCUAGAGUAUGGCAGAGGGGGGUAGAAUUCCACGUGUAGCAGUGAAAUGCGUAGAGAUGUGGAGGAAUACCGAUGGCGAAGGCAGCCCCCUGGGCCAAUACUGACGCUCAUGCACGAAAGCGUGGAGAGCAAACAGGAUUAGAUACCCUGGUAGUCCACGCCCUAAACGAUGUCAACUAGUUGUUGGGUCUUCAUUGACUUAGUAACGUAGCUAACGCGUGAAGUUGACCGCCUGGGGAGUACGGUCGCAAGAUUAAAACUCAAAGGAAUUGACGGGGACCCGCACAAGCGGUGGAUGAUGUGGAUUAAUUCGAUGCAACGCGAAAAACCUUACCUACCCUUGACAUGUAUGGAAGUCUGCCGAGAGGUGGAUGUGCCCGAAAGGGAGCCAUAACACAGGUGCUGCAUGGCUGUCGUCAGCUCGUGUCGUGAGAUGUUGGGUUAAGUCCCGCAACGAGCGCAACCCUUGUCCCUAGUUGCUACGCAAGAGCACUCCAGGGAGACUGCCGGUGACAAACCGGAGGAAGG
Molecule: ribosomal RNA, 1115 nt
Filed under: Paraburkholderia sp.
Lineage: Bacteria; Pseudomonadati; Pseudomonadota; Betaproteobacteria; Burkholderiales; Burkholderiaceae
Description: bacterial SSU rRNA
Rfam family: Bacterial small subunit ribosomal RNA
Source: RNAcentral